CAUGCACCAGUGGGGUCCCUCAGCCUGGCCUGUGGGAUCAGGCCAAAACCGGCUCUCCAGACAUCCCCCAAGGGGUCCCAUAUUGGGACGCAGGCCAGGCUGAGGGACCCCACCGGUGCACA
RNAcentral lists this microRNA precursor (122 nucleotides) under Myotis brandtii (Brandt's bat). RNAcentral's name for it is "mir-9193 microRNA precursor family". It matches the Rfam family "mir-9193 microRNA precursor family". The record is from Rfam by way of RNAcentral. Lineage: Eukaryota; Metazoa; Chordata; Mammalia; Chiroptera; Vespertilionidae.